GAUGAACGCUGGCGGCGUGCCUAACACAUGCAAGUCGAACGAAGCACUUUCUUUAGAUUCUUCGGAUGAAGAAGACUGUGACUGAGUGGCGGACGGGUGAGUAACGCGUGGGCAACCUGCCCUGUACAGGGGGAUAACAGUUAGAAAUGACUGCUAAUACCGCAUAAGCGCACGAGGACGCAUGUUCUUGUGUGAAAAACUCCGGUGGUACAGGAUGGGCCCGCGUCUGAUUAGGUAGUUGGUGGGGCAGCGGCCUACCAAGCCGACGAUCAGUAGCCGACCUGAGAGGGUGACCGGCCACAUUGGGACUGAGACACGGCCCAAACUCCUACGGGAGGCAGCAGUGGGGAAUAUUGCACAAUGGGGGAAACCCUGAUGCAGCGACGCCGCGUGAAGGAAGAAGUAUUUCGGUAUGUAAACUUCUAUCAGCAGGGAAGAAACUGACGGUACCUGACUAAGAAGCACCGGCUAAAUACGUGCCAGCAGCCGCGGUAAUACGUAUGGUGCAAGCGUUAUCCGGAUUUACUGGGUGUAAAGGGAGCGUAGACGGAGAGGCAAGUCUGAAGUGAAAGCCCGGGGCUCAACCCCGGGACUGCUUUGGAAACUGCAGUUCUAGAGUGCCGGAGAGGUAAGCGGAAUUCCUAGUGUAGCGGUGAAAUGCGUAGAUAUUAGGAGGAACACCAGUGGCGAAGGCGGCUUACUGGACGGUGACUGACGUUGAGGCUCG
RNAcentral lists this ribosomal RNA (727 nucleotides) under uncultured Lachnospiraceae bacterium. RNAcentral's name for it is "bacterial SSU rRNA". It matches the Rfam family "Bacterial small subunit ribosomal RNA", at positions 28 to 755 of the family's 1533-position model. The record is from RNAcentral. Lineage: Bacteria; Bacillati; Bacillota; Clostridia; Lachnospirales; Lachnospiraceae.